UAAUAGUCUGGCCUGCUCACUGAUAAUUUGUAUUAAAGAGCCGCGGUAACUUGACCGUGCAAAGGUAGCAUAAUCAUUAGUUCUUUGAUUGAGAACUGGUAUGAAUGGUCGGACAAGAGAGGGACUGUCUCUAAUGUUAAAUCGAAAUUGACUUUUAAGUGAAAAGGCUUAAAUAUAUUAGGGGGACGAUAAGACCCUAUAAAGCUUUAUAUGUUAGGUUAAGUUAACUUAAUUGGAAUAUAAAAGUUUACUUAGUAAAACAUAUUUGGUUGGGGCGACUAAGGUAUAAGUACUAGUAACUGAUUAAAACUCAAUCAACGAUAGUUGAUUAAAUUAUAAUUGAUCCUUUUUAAAGAUUAAAGAUUAAGUUACUUUAGGGAUAACAGCGUAAUUUUCUCUGAGAGUCCAUAUCGAAGAAAAAGUUUGCGACCUCGAUGUUGAAUUAAAAUGUCUCUAUAAUGCAGCAGUUAUAGAAGAAAGUCUGUUCGACC
Molecule: ribosomal RNA, 491 nt
Filed under: Polybius henslowii
Lineage: Eukaryota; Metazoa; Arthropoda; Malacostraca; Decapoda; Polybiidae
Description: partial 16S ribosomal RNA
Rfam family: Bacterial large subunit ribosomal RNA
Source: RNAcentral